CCUAACUCAAUCAUCUCCCUCCUACGCUUUCAUUUCCCCUCCUCCCGCCGACGAAACACACAUUACACACAUACCCUCUCAUCUCCGGUGACGGUGAUUGUAACCCCCACUGUCUCUGACCACCAUUAAUGGCGAAGUGGGUACCGCCGGAACACAGACACACACACACACACAUUCACUCUCUUUCUCCGACAACGGCUAUUGUGCCCUUCACCAUCUCCGAUCACACCAUAGUCUCCGACAACGAUAAUAUAUAUUUAAUGUGAUUGUAAGUGGUACCGUUUCCGACAGCUAUCUCCAAGAAACCACCAUAUCUAUACAUCAGCCAAAGUUUUUGCUCGGUCUGUUUGAACUUAGCUUUGACGCAAGGCUUGAAAUUAGUCAGAGUGCGCUUCGAGUACUCUUUAAUACGUUAUAGAACUCUAAUCAUCACUUCUCUUUAACAUUGUCGGAAAGGGUGUUUGAAUCUGUUUUAUUUCCCAUAUCUGAUCAUGUUCAACAUUCUAUUGAUCCUUCUAGUCUUCACCCUAAAAGGAGGGUUUCUGUAACUUUGCAGGUCUCUCUUGGUGAUGAAGUAAACAACCAGUUUUCACCUAUCCUAAUCGUUUACCCCUUUGACCUGAACCUAUUUCAAAUGGGUAAAGUUUCAAAAAAAUUAGCUUAGAAGGGGAAUUAUGUCAAAUAGGCUGGUCUAGUCAAAUAGGUUAAAAGUCGCCCAAAGUGUUCUCAAAUCUCAGUUGCUCGGUUUGUUAGUUCCAUAUUCGCUGGUUGACUUUGUGGAAAUCCAUUAGGAACAAUACGUUCAUCAACAGUAGAUCUUAAGACACUUGGUACUUCAAACAUCAGCAACAAUGGUUUAUGGUCUGAAAUAAUCCCUCGGGUUUCUGUAAACUGAAGAUACUGGAGCAGUUGGAUGUUUCUCACAAUUGACUAACCAGAACUUUAGCAUCACUUGUGGGGCUUCAUGUGUUAAACUGUUAAUUGAACUAAAAUUUUCGUACAAGCUCUUCAUUGGUCAAAUACAUUGCUGAAGUUUCUCAACUCAUCUUUCUAUUCAUUUUUUGGGAACUCGAGUCUUUGUGUGGAUUGUAUCCAGAAUAAUUGUGAUGCUGCCAGAGAUUUGAAAGUAUUAAGGGAACACAAACCCUUUUCUUCUUUUAUAGAUAGUUAGAGUACCAAAUAGUUCUAUGGUAAAUUUAGUCUAGAUAUCACCGAUGAUUUUAAAUUUUUUUUAUAUGUAGUUCUUCCUUUCAUUAUACAGCCAUGUUUCUCCGGCAAGGAUCUUCCCAGCCACAGGAGCAUUAGCAAUCUGAGAUUCCGAGUACAAGGUAAA
Erigeron canadensis is the source of this 1333-nucleotide long non-coding RNA. RefSeq lists it as uncharacterized. Lineage: Eukaryota; Viridiplantae; Streptophyta; Magnoliopsida; Asterales; Asteraceae. The transcript has 3 exons. The record is from RefSeq and is a predicted model, not a curated record.